RNAcentral lists this ribosomal RNA (600 nucleotides) under uncultured bacterium. RNAcentral's name for it is "bacterial SSU rRNA". It matches the Rfam family "Bacterial small subunit ribosomal RNA", at positions 726 to 1326 of the family's 1533-position model. The record is from RNAcentral.
UUCCGAGCACUCGACUGACGCUGAGGCACGAAAGCGUGGGUAUCGAACAGGAUUAGAUACCCUGGUAGUCCACGCGGUAAACGAUGAAUACUGGUUAUUCGGUCGAUAUAGAUUGAGUGACUUAAGCGAAAGCAUUAAGUAUUCCACCUGGGGAGUACGCCGGCAACGGUGAAACUCAAAGGAAUUGACGGGGGCCCGCACAAGCGGAGGAACAUGUGGUUUAAUUCGAUGAUACGCGAGGAACCUUACCCGGGCUCAAACGCAGAGAGACGACACGUGAAAGCGUGUUUUCCUUCGGGACUGUCUGCGAGGUGCUGCAUGGUUGUCGUCAGCUCGUGCCGUGAGGUGUCGGCUUAAGUGCCAUAACGAGCGCAACCCCCAUCUUCAGUUGUCACCGCGUGAAGGCGGGCACUCUGGAGAGACUGCCGGCGCAAGCUGUGAGGAAGGCGGGGAUGACGUCAAAUCAGCACGGCCCUUACGUCCGGGGCGACACACGUGUUACAAUGGCGGGGCACAGAAGGAAGCCAGGCGGCGACGCCGAGCCGAUCCCUAAAACCCGUCUCAGUUCGGAUCGGAGUCUGCAACCCGACUCCGUGAAGC